GACGAACGCUGGCGGCGUGCCUAAUACAUGCAAGUAGAACGCUGAAGGAGGAGGUUGCUUCUCUGGAUGAGUUGCGAAGGGGUGAGUAACGCGUAGGUAACCUGCCUGGUAGCGGGGGAGAACUAUUGGAAACGAUAGCUAAUACAGCAUAAGAGUAGAUGUUGCAUGACGUUUACUAAAAAGGUGCAAUUGCACCACUACCAGAUGGACCUGCGUUGUAUUAGCUAGUUGGUGAGGUAACGGCGCACCAAGGACACGAUUCAUAGCCGACCAGAGAGGGGUGUCCGCCACCCCUGGACUUGGACCACGCCCAGACUUCCUCGGGAGGCAGCCGUAGGGAAUCUUCGGCAAUGGACCGAAGUCUUACCGAGCCACGCCGCGUUAGUUAAGAAGGUUUUCGGAUCGUAAAGCUCUGUUUUAAGGGAAGAACGAGUGUGAGAGUGGACAGUGCACGCUGUGGCGGUAUCUUACCAGAAAGGGACGGCUAACUACGUG
Molecule: ribosomal RNA, 495 nt
Filed under: uncultured bacterium
Lineage: Bacteria
Description: partial 16S ribosomal RNA
Rfam family: Bacterial small subunit ribosomal RNA
Source: RNAcentral